Molecule: ribosomal RNA, 487 nt
Filed under: uncultured bacterium
Lineage: Bacteria
Description: bacterial SSU rRNA
Rfam family: Bacterial small subunit ribosomal RNA
Source: RNAcentral
AAAUGAAUUGACGGGGGCCCGCACAAGCAGUGGAUUAUGUGGUUUAAUUCGAAGCAACGCGAAGAACCUUACCAGGUCUUGACAUCCCUUGCAUAUCCUGGAGACAGGAGAAGCCCUUCGGGGCAAGGAGACAGGUGGUGCAUGGUUGUCGUCAGCUCGUGUCGUGAGAUGUUGGGUUAAGUCCCGCAACGAGCGCAACCCUUACGAAUAGUUGCUACGCAAGAGCACUCUAUUAGGACUGCCGUUGACAAAACGGAGGAAGGUGGGGACGACGUCAAAUCAUCAUGCCCCUUAUGACCUGGGCGACACACGUAAUACAAUGGCGGUCAACAGAGGGAAGCGAAGCCGCGAGGCGGAGCGAAUCUUCAAAAGCCGUCUCAGUUCGGAUUGCAGGCUGCAACCCGCCUGCAUGAAGUCGGAAUUGCUAGUAAUCGCGGAUCAGCAUGCCGCGGUGAAUACGUUCCCGGGCCUUGUACACACCGCCCGU